This 440-nucleotide ribosomal RNA is filed under the name uncultured bacterium. RNAcentral describes it as "partial 16S ribosomal RNA". It matches the Rfam family "Bacterial small subunit ribosomal RNA", at positions 338 to 795 of the family's 1533-position model. The record is from RNAcentral.
CCUACGGGGCGCUGCAGUGGGGGAUAUUGCACAAUGGGGGAAACCCUGAUGCAGCGACGCCGCGUGUGGGAAGACGGUCUUCUGGAUUGUAAACCACUGUCCCCAGGGACGAAAAUGACGGUACCUGGGGAGGAAGCUCCGGCUAACUACGUGCCAGCAGCCGCGGUAAUACGUAGGGAGCAAGCGUUGUCCGGAAUUACUGGGUGUAAAGGGAGCGUAGGCGGGGAUGCAAGUUGGGUGUCAAAACUACCGGCUCAACCGAUAGUCGCACUCAAAACUGCAGCUCUUGAGUGAAGUAGAGGCAGGCGGAAUUCCUAGUGUAGCGGUGAAAUGCGUAGAUAUUAGGCGGAACACCAGUGGCGAAGGCGGCCUGCUGGGCUUUUACUGACGCUGAGGCUCGAAAGUGUGGGGAGCAAACAGGAUUAGAUACCCUGGUAGUC